Molecule: non-coding RNA, 79 nt
Organism: Schistosoma haematobium
Lineage: Eukaryota; Metazoa; Platyhelminthes; Trematoda; Strigeidida; Schistosomatidae
Source: Rfam
GGCCUCUCUCCAUCCGUGUCGAGAUUCCGUCAAACACUAACCCACUAGUGUUGAUGAGACUUUCAAGUGAAGUGAAGUG